GCCUUAGGCUGCAUAGGGGUUUUAGGUAGUUUUGACAGCAUACUCAGGCUUGCGCAUACCCAUUCCUGCUUUAUGUCUCAUACCCGUUUUGAUUCUUUGUGGGCGUGCCACUGUGGUCAUGCCACUUUUUGUGAGGGUUGGCCAGGAUCUGAGGUCUCUGGAGACCUGAUCCAGCUCGUAUGCCCCUUUAAGUAUAAUGAUUUCCCCUCUGCUUUUAUAGUCGGAACUAUUUUAUUAUAAGCUUUGUCCGGAGACGUUUAGCAUACAUAGGAGUAGCAAAAUCAUAAUUCUUAAAGAGUAUAUAGUAGUGUAGAAAUCAUGAUCCGGAGACCGUAUUAAAAAUGAUAGGCUUUGAGGUGCAGGGAGUUCCAGCAGUUGGGUUGUAUUUUACCUUUGCUAUCUUGCAUCCUGUAGGCGCCUGCUCUCCGCACCUCGAUGACCUUAUAGGGUCCUUCCCACCCUGGGGUGAGUUUCCCCAUUGUUUUUUAUGCUCGUCGUAGAACCAGUCCCCUUGCUGGAAGGUUCUGGUUCUAACUUUCUUGUUGUACGUCCAGGCGACGUCUUGCUGGUAGGACCAGUUUCUCAGUCGAGCGGCCUCUCUUUUUUCGU
Molecule: long non-coding RNA, 609 nt
Filed under: Brassica napus (rape)
Lineage: Eukaryota; Viridiplantae; Streptophyta; Magnoliopsida; Brassicales; Brassicaceae
Description: long non-coding RNA (BNAP_LNC009954)
Source: RNAcentral